GACGAACGCUGGCGGCGUGCUUAACACAUGCAAGUCGAACGGAAAGGCCCUGCUUUUGUGGGGUGCUCGAGUGGCGAACGGGUGAGUAACACGGGAGUAACCUGCCCUUGACUUUGGGAUAACUUCAGGAAACUGGGGCUAAUACCGGAUAGGAGCGCCUGCUGCAUGGUGGGGGUUGGAAAGUUUCGGCGGUUGGGGAUGGACUCGCGGCUUAUCAGCUUGUUGGUGGGGUAGUGGCUUACCAAGGCUUUGACGGGUAGCCGUCCUGAGAGGGUGACCGGCCACAUUGGGACUGAGAUACGGCACAGACUCCUACGGGAGGCAGCAGUGGGGAAUAUUGCACAAUGGGCGGAAGCCUGAUGCAGCAACGCCGCGUGCGGGAUGACGGCCUUCGGGUUGUAAACCGCUUUCGCCUGUGACGAAGCGUGAGUGACGGUAAUGGGUAAAGAAGCACCGGCUAACUACGUG
This 468-nucleotide ribosomal RNA is filed under the name uncultured bacterium. RNAcentral describes it as "partial 16S ribosomal RNA". It matches the Rfam family "Bacterial small subunit ribosomal RNA", at positions 28 to 507 of the family's 1533-position model. The record is from RNAcentral.